RNAcentral lists this transfer RNA (71 nucleotides) under Phrynoderma hexadactylum (Indian five-fingered frog). RNAcentral describes it as "tRNA-Gln". It matches the Rfam family "tRNA". Rfam says of the family: Transfer RNA (tRNA) molecules are approximately 80 nucleotides in length. Their secondary structure includes four short double-helical elements and three loops (D, anti-codon, and T loops). The record is from RNAcentral. Lineage: Eukaryota; Metazoa; Chordata; Amphibia; Anura; Dicroglossidae.
UAAGGGGUAGCACAAGGGGAGUGCGAAGAGUUUUGAUCUCUUAGGUGUGGGUUCGAUUCCCACUUCUUUAG